GAUUCGAACCUGCGGCAGGUUCGGGUCUCACGCAGUGAGACAACGGAGCCGCUUGCGGCGACGGCCCGAAGGGCGAGGCGAAGUCGAGUCAUCCUGCACGACCCACCA
RNAcentral lists this small RNA (108 nucleotides) under Klebsiella quasipneumoniae. Its description in RNAcentral is "RtT RNA". It matches the Rfam family "RtT RNA", at positions 21 to 130 of the family's 130-position model. Rfam says of the family: This family represents a bacterial cis-regulatory element known as RtT RNA. The exact function of RtT is unknown although it is thought that it may be involved in changing the cellular response in relation to amino acid starvation. The record is from RNAcentral. Lineage: Bacteria; Pseudomonadati; Pseudomonadota; Gammaproteobacteria; Enterobacterales; Enterobacteriaceae.